UGCAAUCUGCCUUCCACAGAGGGAUAGCCCAGAGAAAUUUGGAUUAAUACCUCAUAGCAUCAUGACCCGGCAUCGGGAUAUGAUUAAAGUCACAACGGUGGAAGAUGAGCAUGCGUCCCAUUAGCUAGUUGGUAAGGUAACGGCUUACCAAGGCUACGAUGGGUAGGGGUCCUGAGAGGGAGAUCCCCCACACUGGUACUGAGACACGGACCAGACUCCUACGGGAGGCAGCAGUGAGGAAUAUUGGUCAAUGGGCGCAAGCCUGAACCAGCCAUGCCGCGUGCAGGAUGACGGUCCUAUGGAUUGUAAACUGCUUUUGUACGGGAAGAAACCCUCCUACGUGUAGGAGCUUGACGGUACCGUAAGAAUAAGGAUCGGCUAACUCCGUGCCAGCAGCCGCGGUAAUACGGAGGAUCCAAGCGUUAUCCGGAAUCAUUGGGUUUAAAGGGUCUGUAGGCGGUCUUGUAAGUCAGUGGUGAAAGCCCAUCGCUCAACGGUGGAACGGCCAUUGAUACUGCUGGACUUGAAUUAUUGGGAAGCAACUAGAAUAUGUAGUGUAGCGGUGAAAUGCUUAGAGAUUACAUGGAAUACCAAUUGCGAAGGCAGGUUGCUACCAAUGGAUUGACGCUGAUGGACGAAAGCGUGGGUAGCGAACAGGAUUAGAUACCCUGGUAGUCCACGCCGUAAACGAUGGAUACUAGCUGUUGGGCGCAAGUUCAGUGGCUAAGCGAAAGUGAUAAGUAUCCCACCUGGGGAGUACGAACGCAAGUUUGAAACUCAAAGGAAUUGACGGGGGCCCGCACAAGCGGUGGAGCAUGUGGUUUAAUUCGAUGAUACGCGAGGAACCUUACCAAGGCUUAAAUGCAGACUGACCGGUUUGGAAACAGACCUUUCGCAAGACGGUCUACAAGGUGCUGCAUGGUUGUCGUCAGCUCGUGCCGUGAGGUGUCAGGUUAAGUCCUAUAACGAGCGCAACCCCUGUUGUUAGUUGCCAGCGAGUCAUGUCGGGAACUCUAGCAAGACUGCCAGUGCAAACUGUGAGGAAGGUGGGGAUGACGUCAAAUCAUCACGGCCCUUACGCCUUGGGCUACACACGUGCUACAAUGGCCGGUACAGAGAGCAGCCACCCCGCGAGGGGGAGCGAAUCUAUAAAGCCGGUCACAGUUCGGAUCGGAGUCUGCAACUCGACUCCGUGAAGCUGGAAUCGCUAGUAA
RNAcentral lists this ribosomal RNA (1214 nucleotides) under Flavobacterium johnsoniae. Its description in RNAcentral is "bacterial SSU rRNA". It matches the Rfam family "Bacterial small subunit ribosomal RNA", at positions 120 to 1341 of the family's 1533-position model. Lineage: Bacteria; Pseudomonadati; Bacteroidota; Flavobacteriia; Flavobacteriales; Flavobacteriaceae. The record is from RNAcentral.